CCUACGGGUGGCAGCAGUGAGGAAUAUUGGUCAAUGGGCGAGAGCCUGAACCAGCCAAGCCGCGUGAGGGAUGACGGUUCUAUGGAUUGUAAACCUCUUUUGUCGGGGAACAAAGGCGUCCACGUGUGGACUGAUGAGUGUACCCGAAGAAAAAGCAUCGGCAAACUUCGUGCCAGCAGCCGCGGUAAUACGGGGGAUGCGGGCGUUAUCCGGAUUUAUUGGGUUUAAGGGGUGCGUAGGCGGACAGUCAAGUCAGCGGUAAAAAUGCGGUGCUCAACGCCGUACAGCCGUUGAAACUGGGAGUCUUGAGUGGGCGAGAGGUGAGCGGAAUGCGUGGUGUAGCGGUGAAAUGCAUAGAUAUCACGCAGAACUCCGGUUGCGAAGGCAGCUUACCGGCGCCCAACUGACGCUGAGGCACGAAAGCGUGGGUAUCGAACAGGAUUAGAUACCCGUGUAGUC
RNAcentral lists this ribosomal RNA (459 nucleotides) under uncultured bacterium. RNAcentral describes it as "partial 16S ribosomal RNA". It matches the Rfam family "Bacterial small subunit ribosomal RNA", at positions 338 to 795 of the family's 1533-position model. The record is from RNAcentral.